GUUUUUCUUAACUUAUAUAACACAUAUACUAAAAUUGGAAAAAUACAAAGAAGAUUGGCAUGGCCCCUGUGCAAGGAUGACAUACUAUUAGUUUAGUAGUUCUCUUAAUUU
This is a small nuclear RNA of Monodelphis domestica (gray short-tailed opossum), 111 nucleotides long. The record is from Ensembl. Lineage: Eukaryota; Metazoa; Chordata; Mammalia; Didelphimorphia; Didelphidae.